UACGGAGGGUGCAAGCGUUAGUCGGAAUUACUGGGCGUAAAGGGCGCGUAGGCGGGAAUGUAAGUCAAACGUGAAAUUUCGGAGCUCAACUCCGAAGCGGCAUUUGAAACUGCAUUUCUUGAGGGACGACGGAGAAAGUGGAAUUCCACGUGUAGCGGUGAAAUGCGUAGAUAUGUGGAAGAACACCUGUGGCGAAAGCGACUUUCUAGUCUAACCUGACGCUGAGGCGCGAAAGCAAGGGGAGCAAACAGG
RNAcentral lists this ribosomal RNA (252 nucleotides) under uncultured bacterium. RNAcentral describes it as "partial 16S ribosomal RNA". It matches the Rfam family "Bacterial small subunit ribosomal RNA", at positions 524 to 776 of the family's 1533-position model. The record is from RNAcentral.